UUGCUUUUGUUUAAAGGUAAAACUAGGUUCAAUUUAUCAAUUCCGAUGAACUUUAAGAAAGGAAGCAAAAAUUUCAGCAAAACAAAAAUUAAAAUCGAAUUGAAGUAAUACUAAGAUGAUGAAAAACCUUCAAUAUAUGAGAUAAUAACAACCAACUGAAAAUACAUAUAAUAGUUCCAAAAGGUAAAUUCGGCUUUAUCGGAUUUAAAGCUUUAGGUUUGGUUGUUUGGCAAAUAUGGUUGGUAAUGGUGGAAGGUUAGAUUAAAAGGGGAUAAUAUGAUGUCAGGAGAUGAGAGAUACAAAAAGUGCACCGUUCACACGAUCGUGGGGGAUCCACGAUCGACAAGGAGGGCGGUACACCACGGCUAGAAUUUCGGCAACGGGGAAAAAGAAGAUGAGAUAGUGACUCGGAAGAAGAGGAGGGAUAGAAGUAGAAGCCGAUCUUGUCACGAGGAAGAAGCGACAACGAUCAAGUUGAGGAAGAAGACGAUCUCGGCGCGAGGAAGAAGAGUCGAUGAUCUCACCGGGAAGUGGAACACCAAGGAUAUAGAUUGAGAGUAGAAUUUUCUAUUCAUCCAAAUAUAUCCCUUAAGGUUUCAAGAACCAUGUAUUUAUAGUGUUGAAAGCUCUCUGAUAAUAAAUUAUUGUCUUUUCGUUUUCAACACAACACGGUCACCCAAGAGUCAUGCAUAGAAAACGAAGCAACUUUGGGAAUUUCAAAGGUCUUUCUUUUAUUUUUUUGGGGAAUUCCAAAGGUCUUUUUGGGAUUGAUUUUUUGUUUAUGGGAUAAAAGGGUUUGGGUUAGCCAAAUCAACUAAAACCAAAUGAUUUAAGUCCGAAUCAAACACGAACCUACAAAAUAAAAGAAAAUUGCAUUUGAAAAUAAAACGAGAUUUAUUUGCUGCAUCAGUUCCCCUCGAGUUGGGGAAAUCUCGACUUCGUCGAGAUGGCAUCCUGAUAUCUCUGGUACAAGUCCUCUUGAAGUUGGCGCAACUCCGCCUCAGAAAUCCAACUGCUAUCGGACAAUGGUCGUCCACGCCAACGCACCAACUAUCGGCGAUAAGUACCACGUCGGCACAUCCAGAAUAUCCUCCACGCCAUCUGAUGGAGUUUCAAUGUCGGAGCGAGAUGUCAAGCCAUCAAUAUCGACAGUAGAGGGGGCCUUUCCAUGGUACUCGUAUAGCUCGCUGACAUUGAAGAUCGGAGACGUCGAUACUUCUGGAGGUAGAUCAAUUAGAUAAGCAUUUUCCCCUAAUUUCUUCAGAAUUUUGAAUGGCCCGUACUUUUUCCUCUUCAACUUGCUAUAGCCUCCAGCUGAGAACCUUUCUUUUCUAAAUAGAUUAAGACAUUAUCUCCAUUAAAAGUCAUACCUCAGCGAUGUUUAUCAGCUGACUCCUUGUACUUGACAGUAGAAUCCCGCAACCUCUGAUGAACUUGUUGUUGCACCUCUUGAAUUUGUUUUAGGUAAUAGUUGGCAUCUGCACUAACUCUACCAGGGUAAGGUAUUGGUGCUCGGUCAAGAAAGUGGGCUAUAGGACAGCCAUAUAAAGCUUCAAAAGGAGAUUUUCCAAUGGUUCGGUUUAUGGAACUGUUAUAAGCAAAUUCAGCUUGAGGUAAAUUAAAUCCCAUUGUGUUGGUUUUUCUCCAACUAAACAUCUUAAGAGAUUACCCAAAGAUCGAUUUACUAUUUCCGUCUGCUCGUCAGUUUGUGGAUGGUAUGGGCUACUGAAAUUCAGUUUGCUUCCUGCCUUCGACAUUAAAGUUCUCCAAAAAUGACUAACAAAUUUUGUAUCUCGAUCAGAGGUAAUUGAUUUAGGAAUGCCAUGUAAACGUACAAUUUCAUUGAAAAAUAAUUUUGCAAUAUGUGAUGCAUCAGAAGUUUUCUUGCAAGGAAUAAAAUGAGCCAUUUUCGUAAAACGAUCAACAAUCACAAAAACUGAAUCAACUUGGCGUGCAGUCUUGGGUAGGCCUAGGACAAAGUCCAUGUUAAUAUCCUCCCAGGGCACAUUGGGAAUGGGCAGGGGAGUAUACAAGCCAGUAUUUUGAGUUUGUCCUUUAAAUGAUUGACAAGUCUUACACCGCUGAACAAACCUUUCAACGUCCUUCCUCAUGUUAGGCCAAUAAUACCUCUCUUGAACUAAUCCCAAAGUUUUGUCUCUCCCGAAAUGUCCUCCUAGCUCGCUAUGCAAGUUCUGAAUCAAGGACUCUCUUAACGAUCCCUGGGGAAUGCACAACUUGGACUUUCUAAAAAGAUACCGGCCGUCCAAACAGUAAUCAGAAGGUGAAUCACUAUCAGGAGAUAGGCACAUUUUUAGGAUAGGACCGAAGUUAGGGUCAUUUUGAUAUUGGUCCUUAACUAUCUCAAAUCCUACUAUCUGUAAGGAAGAAAUGAUAAGCAAAUAGUUUCUACGACUGAGUGCAUCAGCGACUCGAUUAGCAAUGCCUUGUUUAUGCCGCAAGUGAAAAGUGUAUUCUUGCAGGAAUGCAGACGCAUGUCUUUUGUUCGAGUUUUUUUUGAGAAUUUAAAUAUCGCAAUGCUUCAUGAUCCGAAUUAAGAAUAAACUCUCGAUGAAUCAAGUAGGGUCGCCAAUGUUUCAAAGCCUGCACGAUCGCGUAAAAUUCAAGAUCAUAAGUGGAGUAACGUACUCGUGCAUCGUUCAAUUUUUCACUAAAGAAGGCUAUAGGACGUUUCUUUUGAGACAGUACGCCUCCAAUUCCGAUAUGUGAGGCAUCACAAUCAAUCUCAAACACCUUUUCGAAGUCGGGCAAGGCAAGUACUGGAGCCUUUGUAAGUUUGUCCUUAGCCAAUUGAAAACUUUUUUCAGCUUCAGAUGUCCAAGUAAAUUUACCCCCUUUUAGGCAAUCAGUUAUUGGCGCAAUUAAUGAACUGAAAUUUCGAAUGAAACGCCGAUAAAACGACGCAAGUCCGUGGAAACUUCGGAUUUCAGUUAUAGUCUUUGGGGUUGGCCAAUUCUGAAUUGCUUCUAUCUUAACAGGAUCUACCUUAAUUCCCUCGGUGGACACCACAUAGCCUAAGAAGGUAAGGCUAUCGGUCAGAAAUGUACACUUCUUAAGAUUCAGAUGUAAGCUGUUAUCUCUUAAAGUUUGAAGCACUUGUCUUAAAUGAUCCAUAUGAGUUUCAGGACUCGUGCUAUAAAUCAGAAUGUCGUCGAAGUAAACUACGACAAAUUUUCCAAUGAAUGGUCGCAAGACUUGGUUCAUAGAGCGCAUGAAAGUACUAGGGGCAUUGGAUAGCCCAAACGGCAUAACCAACCACUCGUAUAAUCCUUCUUUAGUUUUAAACGCCGUUUUCCAUUCAUCUCCAGGUCGAAUACGGAUUUGAUGAUAUCCGCUCUUAAGGUCAAUCUUAGAGAAUAUCUUCGCACCUCCUAACAUGUCAAGCAUAUCAUCAAUCUCAGGAAUGGGAAACCUAUACUUGAUGGUAAUUUUGUUAACUGCACGACUGUCAAUACACAUUCGCUACGUUCCAUCCUUUUUUGGUGUAAGGAGGGCAGGCACCGCGACAGGGCUCAUACUUUCUCUAAUGUAACCUUUUUGCAGAAGUUCAAAAACCUGCCUAUAUAACUCUUCAUGCUCAGCGGGACUCAUCCUGUAAUGGGCUAGGUGUGGAAGACUAGCACCGGGUACAAAAUCAAUGCAGUGUUGGAUGUCUCUCAUAGGUGGAAGGCCAUCGGGGAGUUCCUCAGGCAUGAUAUCAGAAAAUUCAUUAAGCAAUGGUUGAACAACUUGAGGAACUUCAGUGUUCUUCGAUAUUUCUUUUGCCAAAAGAAUAUAUACCACUGGAGACUUUGCUAGAUCUUUAGAGAAUUGGCUUUUGUUCAAAACCAUCAUUUUCUGCUCAUUAUUGGAGGGUUGCUUUUGGGACUCAAUUGGCUUAGACUUUGGUUUGGGAAAGUAAUUUAGGGGAACCAAUCUAACUUUCUUUUUGUCCUUUUUGACAAUGUAAGUGUUCUCCCUACCAUCAUGUAUAGUGCUACGAUCAAAUUGCCAAGGUCUACCUAACAAUAGGUGACUCACAUCCAUGGGAACAACAUCACACCAAACUUUAUCAGCAUAAGUUUUCCCAAUAGAAAAUUCAACAAGACAUCUUUUAGUUACAGGAAAUUCAUCCCCAUCCUUAAACCAAGCUAUUUUGUAAGUUUGAGCAAGUUUUUCAGUUUUCAGUUUAAGCUUAUCAACUAUUUCUCAAGUGACAAAGUUUUUAGUACUUCCACUAUCAAUGACCAGAGAGCAAAACUUGCCUCCCGUGCUACAAAUGGUUCUGAAAAGGCUACGACGCUUCCAAUCAUCUUGGGUGGACUUAGAGGCUGAUAGGACUCGAUGGAUCAUGAGAUUUGUUUCAGUAGCAUCAGGAGAUUCUUCGGAAAUCUCAUCAACAUCUUCUUGUUCUAAAGUUUCUUCCCCAUUUUCAUUCUCUUCAUGACUUUCUAUUAGAUUGGCUCUAGAAUCAAAUUUUCUCAAAGGGCAAUCAGAGGAUUUAUGUCCAGGUUUGUUACAUUUAUAACAAAUGAUGCCAGAUUCAGCGGGUUUUGCACCUAAAAUUCCUUUGCCCUUGAGGUCUUGAACAAGUCUUGAAGAGGUAAUUAGUUUGAACUUGUUUCCACCACACUAAGGCAUGUCCUUUCAAUUUAAGGGAGACAAAUUUAACUUUUUUGUCAUCAGGUAAUUCUUUCCAUUCAAAAAAUUGUUCUAUUUUGUCUAGCCAAUCCACAAAAUCUUCAGGUUGUAAUUUACCCUCGAACUCACUCACGUCCACUUUAAUGCCCUGAUCCCAUCUAUGUAUAUUUCCUUGAUUUUGAAGAAGAGGAUUUCUUCUAACAGGUACAGUACGAUUGUCAAAAUCAGGGUCACUUUCCGAAUCUUCUCCAACUGCAGUUUGUUGUUGCAUACUUAAUCUUUCCAAUAGUUGUUGAAUGUUAUUCAUUUGAUUUUGCAUGCGUUUCAUGGAAUCUUGUUGUUUCUCAUAUGCUUCUCUCCAAUCACGAGGAUUUUCACUACUGCCAGCCAUUUCCAAAUGCUAACAAGUUGAUCAAAAAGUGAUGCCCUUUUUUUUUUGAAUAUUUUGGCCCAAAGUUGAAUACUAAGAAAAAGUUGUUUAGAUCAAAACAAACGCUGCCACGAAAAGAACUUUCUCUGAUACCAAUUGAUGCAAACCGAGAAGUUGCCAAAAGUGAAUUUUCACAUUUGCUUUUGUUUAAAGGUAAAACUAGGUUCAAUUUGUCAAUUCCGAUGAACUUUAAGCAAGGAAGCAAAAAUUUCAGCAAAACAAAAAUUAAAAUCGAAUUGAAGUAAUACUAAGAUGAUGAUAAACCUUCAAUAUAUGAGAUAAUAACAACCAACUGAAAAUACAUAUACUAGUUCCAAAAGGUAAAUUCGGCUUUAUCGAACUUAAAGCUUUAGGUUUGGUUGUUUGGCAAAUAUGGUUGGUAAUGGUGGAAGGCUAGAUUAAAAGGGGAUAAUAGGAUGUCAGGAGAUGAGAGAUACAAAAAGUGCACCGUUCACACGAUUGCGGGGGAUCCACGAUCGACGAGGAGGGCGGUACACCACAGGUAGAACUUCGGCAACGGGGAAGAAGAAGAUGAGGUAGUGACUCGGAAGAAGAGGAGGGGUAGAAGUAGAAGCCGAUCUUGUCAUGAGGAAGAAGCGACAACGAUCAAGUUGAAGAAAAAGACGAUCUCGGCGCGAGGAAGAAGCGUCGAUGAUCUCACCGGGAAGUAGAACAACAAGGAUAAAGAUUGAGAGUAGAAUUUUCUAUUCAUCCAAAUAUAUCCCUUAAGGCUUCAAGAACCAUGUAUUUAUAGUGUUGAAAGCCCUCUGAUAAUAAAUUAUUGUCUUUUCAUUUUCAACACAACACGGUCACCCAAGAGUCAUGCAUAGAAAACGAAGCAACUUUGGGAAUUUCAAAGGUCUUUCUUUUAUUUUUUUUUUGGGG
This 5953-nucleotide long non-coding RNA is filed under the name Ananas comosus (pineapple). RNAcentral's name for it is "long non-coding RNA (ACOM_LNC001010)". The record is from RNAcentral. Lineage: Eukaryota; Viridiplantae; Streptophyta; Magnoliopsida; Poales; Bromeliaceae.